GGACCUGGCGCGUCUGGACCCUUGUACUUCCAAGUACGGAGAGGGUGAAAUGACCCCGACCAACCCUCCCGGCCUCCCGUCGCUCGGACGGGUGAACCAUGCCAACCGGGCUGGAUUUCGGUGGGGUUGCCUGACAUAUGCUCGCCGCGACAACUCCAGAACACGAGACGGCCCCCGCCGGGACUGGCAUCCCGGACGAGGGCCUGACCAUCAAGGAAGUAGCCCUUCCCC
This 231-nucleotide non-coding RNA is filed under the name Streptomyces sp. WM4235. RNAcentral's name for it is "Streptomyces sRNA 4677". It matches the Rfam family "Streptomyces sRNA 4677". From Rfam's summary of the family: Located in the intergenic region between anti-sigma factor SCO4677 gene and a putative regulatory protein gene SCO4676. scr4677 expression requires the SCO4677 activity and scr4677 sRNA itself seem to affect the levels of the SCO4676-associated transcripts. Lineage: Bacteria; Bacillati; Actinomycetota; Actinomycetes; Kitasatosporales; Streptomycetaceae. The record is from Rfam by way of RNAcentral.